GGAAUGGGAAGAACUUGCAGCCAGAGGGAACAGGGGAUAGACUGGAGAAUAGCACCGUCACCAGGAAAAGGCAGGUCUAUGUGAUCGACUCUUUACUGAGAAGAAUAGACAGGCCUGUAACUAGAGCUAAUCCAGAGAAUAGAAGAGUGUGCUGUAUUCCAGUUUGU
Chelonia mydas (Green sea turtle) is the source of this 167-nucleotide long non-coding RNA. RefSeq lists it as uncharacterized. The transcript is spliced from 3 exons. Lineage: Eukaryota; Metazoa; Chordata; Testudines; Cheloniidae. The record is from RefSeq and is a predicted model, not a curated record.